Molecule: long non-coding RNA, 652 nt
Organism: Caretta caretta (loggerhead turtle)
Lineage: Eukaryota; Metazoa; Chordata; Testudines; Cheloniidae
Source: RefSeq, a predicted model, not a curated record
GGCUCCAUGAAUUUUUGUUUAUUUCCUGUGACCUGUCUGUGACUUUUACUAAAAAUAACAGUGACUAAAUCUUAGCGUUAGUCAUGAUCUGUUGAGCAUUACUAUCCUGUUGAAUUAUGUGUUACCAUUGUAUCUGAAAUUAUGAAGUUUUGCUAUGGGUGUGUUACUGAAAUAUGUUGAGUCUGGGAGACGCCCAUAGCUGGCCUUUCAAUGGCAACAAAGCCAACGCCCUCAAGACAGAUUUACAACAGAACUAGCUGGCCAUCUGUUGAUGGCCCAUUAAGGAGAAUCCAUUCUCCCAGUGGGACCUUCCUGAUGCACAUAGACAAUGGGGAUUGCUUAACCCAGUGACUCAACAGGGGACAUAGAACAUGUGAUCCCUGACUUGUUUAAACAAUAUCUUUCCAUGCACAUGGAUUGGGAUGUAUAAAUUGGAGUCUGUGACAUCAGCCUUGGCCUCUCUCCUCCCUCACCUACUCUGAAGGCAACAAGAAUGUUUGGAAGAAAAGACGUUGAACUGAGGAGAUUCCAGGCUGAUCAAAGAAUUUAGCCCUUACCACCUGCAACAUCCAGUGGGGUGCUGAUACUGCUUUCAAAAUGGUGGCAGGGAGCAAGAUCAGGAGUUGCUGAGUGCUGCAAAAAGCAUCAGGAA